ACUUUAAAAAAAAGAAAACAAAACUACGCGACGUGACGUUAGACACCGAAAAGUCUGUCGCGUGCAGCAGCUCGAGUACAAAAAUGCAUCAAGGAGAUUCAAGAUGACUCGUCCAGAAUGGAACACACUUCUGCUUCCUGCUCACGGAGACCUGGUUGGACUUGUUCAGCUUCACACAGUAUACAUAAAGUUGAUCUUCAUGAAGAGCUUCAAACAGUAGGUGUCAUGUAUUUUUAUUUUGGGUGGCCGGCGUGUCCCCACUUGCUCUUUUUCUUGGCCGCUGUGCCUGUCUGCAUUGUCCAUUUGAAUUUGCUGAAACUCUCCGUACGUCCAACAUGGCCACGUUUUUCUCUUCCUUUCCAUCUGUCAAAUAGCUGUGUGUCUUUCACGGAGCAUUA
Long non-coding RNA from Solea solea (common sole), 398 nucleotides. RefSeq lists it as uncharacterized. Lineage: Eukaryota; Metazoa; Chordata; Actinopteri; Pleuronectiformes; Soleidae. The transcript is spliced from 3 exons. The record is from RefSeq and is a predicted model, not a curated record.